Molecule: transfer RNA, 72 nt
Filed under: Coccomyxa subellipsoidea C-169
Lineage: Eukaryota; Viridiplantae; Chlorophyta; Trebouxiophyceae; Coccomyxaceae
Description: tRNA-Gly
Rfam family: tRNA
About the family: Transfer RNA (tRNA) molecules are approximately 80 nucleotides in length. Their secondary structure includes four short double-helical elements and three loops (D, anti-codon, and T loops). Further hydrogen bonds mediate the characteristic L-shaped molecular structure. tRNAs have two regions of fundamental functional importance: the anti-codon, which is responsible for specific mRNA codon recognition, and the 3' end, to which the tRNAs corresponding amino acid is attached (by aminoacyl-tRNA synthetases). tRNAs cope with the degeneracy of the genetic code in two manners: having more than one tRNA (with a specific anti-codon) for a particular amino acid; and 'wobble' base-pairing, i.e. permitting non-standard base-pairing at the 3rd anti-codon position.
Source: RNAcentral
GCGGAAGUAGCUCAGUGGUAGAGCGUUGCCUUGCCAAGGCAAAGGCCGAGGGUUCGACCCCCUUCUUCCGCU